GUUGUUCUGCAGACCAACAUGGCUUGGUUGCUCUGCAGAUCAGCACGGCUUUAUGACGUCAAUAAAGUCUACUUUUGGAUUCAAAGGCUCCUGAGUCUUUGCAUCUUUUUUGUCUGGAAAUCUGAAGUGUUUUCCACAUCAUAAUCUUGGCGCUGCGAUCAGGGUUGGCAUCGGGCUGGCUGGCGCCGUGGGUCAGGUCACACAAACACGUGGCCACAUCGAGAGGAAAGCAUGUUCUUACUUUAAUUUUGUGGUUUGUGUGACUUGAAACAAUAGCCUGGCAGUUUGGCACCACGUAAGGCCUACUUGCCAACACUCCCAUUUUUCCCGGGUUCUUCCCGUUUUUUAGCCCUAUCUCCUAGACCCCUCCCGUUUUGUUAUUUCUCCUGGGAAACUCCCAUAAUUUGCAUGGCCCAAACUCCUUUAUAAAUAAUCAGACCAAUAUGUCUGUCUAAUGUUGACUAGUUGCCAGAUCUUGUAUGAAAAGCAUCCUAUUCACACAAUCCACACACCAUACAAUUUUCAACACGUUUGUCACCUCAACCUAUAACCCAGUUGCGCAGUUGAUCUCUGCGCAAGCUUCGCGGAAAGUUCAGACCCAAAAGCGAGCGAUAAUAAUGGCAGGUGAAGGCUGUGUUCCCGGAAAGAAAUCUAAAUAUAGCUGUAAAUUACAACAGUGUUGGACACAACAAUUUACAUGCAUCUUACCGAGUCAUAUCGACAACCUCAACGCUUUUUGUAAGGUUUGUCGCAUUGAUUUUAAUGUAGUGCACAGCGGUAAAAAUGACAUUACCCAUCAGAUUAAAACACAGCGGCACCAUCGCACAGAAAAGGCACACACAAAUAAAAAAUAUAAUAAAUAUUAAUAAAUUAAGUUGUGUUAUCAUUGAUAUUGCAAUGUAAAUAAUACUUAGAAGACUGCUGUGGGACAGGACCGCCGGCUUUGAAUUUAGCUGAAUGAGUGUGCCCCACGAUUACCGCCUCAGACAUAAACUUUGGGGAACAGCACAGGUGGGGGCUGAAUGAGUGGCCGCCUCUCACAGGUGUGUGGGAGUUCUCUGCAGUGUGAUAGUAGAGCGUGAAUGGUUAGGGCCAACUGCUAGGAGGAGUAUAGAGGAGUAAGUUAAGGGGUGUGUAGGCGCAGAGAGAAUUGUUGAGAGAAGUGAUGAAUGGUUUGUUGUCAAGGAGAAGUGGGUUAAGAGGUGUAGGAGUAGAGACAAUUGGGUUUUAAGAGAAUUGUUGAGUUGUUUGUGAAUGGGAUGAAGGUCAGUAUUCGAGAAGACAGGCUGAGGUCCAACAGGAACUUAGUUCCAAGGAGGUAUACGAUACGUUGUGUGCACACCCCAUGGAUACCACUCCCAUGAGGGUGGAGGUCUGAACGGGUGCGGUUGUAAGAAGACCUGUAUGGUAACGUCCUGUGGACCUGGAAGCAGGCGGGGACCAGGAGACUGUGUGUGUGAAUGUAUGUGCAAAAGAGAAAGUGUGUGAGGGAAGAGAAUUCCUGUCUGUAAUGAAGUGUGUGAAAGGAGACCCAUUGGGAGUGAUGCGCAUAGCGGGUACAUUGAUAGUAGAUGAUAAUGGUAUUUGCCCGAGUGCUAGAAAAGGGACGUCUGGAUAGAUGGGAAGAAGGUAAAUGAAGAAAAUAGCCAGAUGGACAAAGAUUUUGUGGGAGAUGUGCCACUAGAAAGUACUCAACAGUGGACAAAGGAUCUGGUCUAGUUUUGGGAGUCCUGGAUCCUGCAACCCUGAUAAACCUUGUACAAUAAAGGGGUACCUCACACAGAUGGCCCAGAUCAUUCUAAGGCCAAACCAAGCCCAGACCUGAGAGACUGCCUUGGGUUCAGAAUAAGAAUAUUGGACACUGAUGGUUCCAGCUACACCACAGUCAAGGAGAGGGUGGAGGAAUGGAGAGACUGGUGGUUCCAGCUACACCACAGUCAAGGAGAGGGUGGAGGAAUGGAGAGACUGAUGGUUCCAGCUACACCACAGUCAAGGAGAGGGUGGAGGAUUGGAGAGACUGAUGGUUCCAGCUACACCACAGUCAAGGAGAGGGUGGAGGAAUGGAGAGACUGAUGGUUC
Esox lucius (northern pike) is the source of this 2079-nucleotide long non-coding RNA. Lineage: Eukaryota; Metazoa; Chordata; Actinopteri; Esociformes; Esocidae. The record is from Ensembl.